CACGUAGGGCGCAAGCGUUGUCCGGAAUUAUUGGGCGUAAAGAGCUCGUAGGCGGUCUGUUGCGUCUGCUGUGAAAACCCGGGGCUUAACCCCUGGCUUGCAGUGGAUACGGACAGACUAGAGGUAGGUAGGGGAGAAUGGAAUUCCCGGUGUAGCGGUGAAAUGCGCAGAUAUCGGGAGGAACACCGGUGGCGAAGGCGGUUCUCUGGGCCUUACCUGACGCUGAGGGGCGAAAGCGUGGGGAGCGAACAGG
RNAcentral lists this ribosomal RNA (253 nucleotides) under uncultured bacterium. RNAcentral's name for it is "partial 16S ribosomal RNA". It matches the Rfam family "Bacterial small subunit ribosomal RNA", at positions 524 to 776 of the family's 1533-position model. The record is from RNAcentral.